AUGCGGGCCCUCUUCUGGAACAUCCGCGGCUUCGGCCAUGAUGGCCGCCGCCGCCAGUUAGUGGAAUACAUGCGAGAUGAGCACAUCGACAUCGUGGUUGUGCAAGAGACCAUGCGUCGCGAUUUUGCGCUCCCUGAGCUUGACCGGCUGAGCUCUCACCUCUUUGCGUGGCACUGGCUCCCUUCUAGUGGGAGCGCGGGCCACUCGGGUGGCAUCCUUUUAGGUGUGAAGGAUGCCACCUUUGAGGUGGGCAGCAUGGAUAGGGGCGAAUUCUUCGUCAGCAUGGAGCUUUUCGAGAGGUCGCUCAACUUCAAGUGGGAGAUCAUCAUUGUCUAUGGACCGGCCGAUCAUAGUAGGUCGGCCUCCUUCUUGGAGGAGCUCCACCGGAAAAUCUCGGCCGCCUCCCUCCCCGUGGUUGUCGGGGGCGACUUCAACCUGCUGCGCGUUGCGGAGGACAAGAACAAUGGCAAUGUUUGCUUUGCCCGGAUGGACAUGUUUAACGACUUCAUUGCCGACCUCGCCCUCCAGGAGAUUGAUCGGGUUGGGGCCCGUUUUACUUGGACCAACCGACAAGCCUCCCCGACCCUGUCCGUCUUGGACAGGGUCCUAGUUUCCCCGGAAUGGGACCUCCGAUGCCCCCUAGCCUCUCUU
This 651-nucleotide ribosomal RNA is filed under the name Triticum aestivum (bread wheat). RNAcentral describes it as "partial small subunit ribosomal RNA". Lineage: Eukaryota; Viridiplantae; Streptophyta; Magnoliopsida; Poales; Poaceae. The record is from RNAcentral.